This 113-nucleotide small nucleolar RNA is filed under the name Cavia porcellus (domestic guinea pig). Its description in RNAcentral is "Small nucleolar RNA SNORA27 (ENSCPOG00000029843.2)". The record is from RNAcentral. Lineage: Eukaryota; Metazoa; Chordata; Mammalia; Rodentia; Caviidae.
UUACCCCCUUUCAAUUUGCCAAUAUUUAUUAAUCAUUUUCAAGUCAAAGGAAAUACCUUUUUUAAAACUCAACCAAACUGAGUGUUUCUCUCAUACCUGUCAGAAAAACAGAU